This 86-nucleotide transfer RNA is filed under the name Alphaproteobacteria bacterium. RNAcentral describes it as "tRNA-Leu". It matches the Rfam family "tRNA". Rfam says of the family: Transfer RNA (tRNA) molecules are approximately 80 nucleotides in length. The record is from RNAcentral. Lineage: Bacteria; Pseudomonadati; Pseudomonadota; Alphaproteobacteria. RNAcentral also lists the same sequence under 2 other names.
GCCCGCUUGGUGGAAUGGUAGACACAACAGACUUAAAAUCUGUCGAUCUUACGGUCAUGCCAGUUCGAGUCUGGCAGCGGGCACCA